RNAcentral lists this unclassified non-coding RNA (195 nucleotides) under Polygonum aviculare. RNAcentral's name for it is "partial internal transcribed spacer 2". Lineage: Eukaryota; Viridiplantae; Streptophyta; Magnoliopsida; Caryophyllales; Polygonaceae. The record is from RNAcentral.
ACCGCGUCGCCCCCUCCCCCUCCGGGGGGAACGGGGCGGAGACUGGCCCCCCGUGUGCCUCACGGCGCGCGGCCGGCCCAAACGCAGACCCCGCGGCCGCUGGACGGCGCGACGAUCGGUGGAGUAGACCCUACGCAUCCCGUCGCGCCCCGAGCGGCCCUCGGAGGCCACGAUCGACCCUCAGUGAAACCACCG